UAGAUGGUUCCAGCAUAUUAAGGACAGC
Molecule: non-coding RNA, 28 nt
Filed under: Bombyx mori (domestic silkworm)
Lineage: Eukaryota; Metazoa; Arthropoda; Insecta; Lepidoptera; Bombycidae
Source: RNAcentral